This 919-nucleotide ribosomal RNA is filed under the name Escherichia coli. Its description in RNAcentral is "partial 23S ribosomal RNA". It matches the Rfam family "Bacterial large subunit ribosomal RNA", at positions 1917 to 2831 of the family's 2925-position model. The record is from RNAcentral. Lineage: Bacteria; Pseudomonadati; Pseudomonadota; Gammaproteobacteria; Enterobacterales; Enterobacteriaceae.
GCCCCGGUAAACGGCGGCCGUAACUAUAACGGUCCUAAGGUAGCGAAAUUCCUUGUCGGGUAAGUUCCGACCUGCACGAAUGGCGUAAUGAUGGCCAGGCUGUCUCCACCCGAGACUCAGUGAAAUUGAACUCGCUGUGAAGAUGCAGUGUACCCGCGGCAAGACGGAAAGACCCCGUGAACCUUUACUAUAGCUUGACACUGAACAUUGAGCCUUGAUGUGUAGGAUAGGUGGGAGGCUUUGAAGUGUGGACGCCAGUCUGCAUGGAGCCGACCUUGAAAUACCACCCUUUAAUGUUUGAUGUUCUAACGUUGGCCCGUAAUCCGGGUUGCGGACAGUGUCUGGUGGGUAGUUUGACUGGGGCGGUCUCCUCCUAAAGAGUAACGGAGGAGCACGAAGGUUGGCUAAUCCUGGUCGGACAUCAGGAGGUUAGUGCAAUGGCAUAAGCCAGCUUGACUGCGAGCGUGACGGCGCGAGCAGGUGCGAAAGCAGGUCAUAGUGAUCCGGUGGUUCUGAAUGGAAGGGCCAUCGCUCAACGGAUAAAAGGUACUCCGGGGAUAACAGGCUGAUACCGCCCAAGAGUUCAUAUCGACGGCGGUGUUUGGCACCUCGAUGUCGGCUCAUCACAUCCUGGGGCUGAAGUAGGUCCCAAGGGUAUGGCUGUUCGCCAUUUAAAGUGGUACGCGAGCUGGGUUUAGAACGUCGUGAGACAGUUCGGUCCCUAUCUGCCGUGGGCGCUGGAGAACUGAGGGGGGCUGCUCCUAGUACGAGAGGACCGGAGUGGACGCAUCACUGGUGUUCGGGUUGUCAUGCCAAUGGCACUGCCCGGUAGCUAAAUGCGGAAGAGAUAAGUGCUGAAAGCAUCUAAGCACGAAACUUGCCCCGAGAUGAGUUCUCCCUGACUCCUUGAGGGUCCUGA